This 484-nucleotide ribosomal RNA is filed under the name uncultured bacterium. RNAcentral's name for it is "partial 16S ribosomal RNA". It matches the Rfam family "Bacterial small subunit ribosomal RNA", at positions 30 to 507 of the family's 1533-position model. The record is from RNAcentral.
AUUGAACGCUGGCGGCAGGCCUAACACAUGCAAGUCGAGCGGAUGAAGGGAGCUUGCUUCUGGAUUCAGCGGCGGACGGGUGAGUAAUGCCUAGGAAUUUGCCUGGUAGUGGGGGCUAACGUCCGGAAACGGGCGCUAAUACCGCAUACGUCCUGAGGGAGAAAGAGGGGGAUCUUCGGACCUCACGCUAUCAGAUGAGCCUAGGUCGGAUUAGCUAGUUGGUGGGGUAAAGGCCUACCAAGGCGACGAUCCGUAACUGGUCUGAGAGGAUGAUCAGUCACACUGGAACUGGAACACGGUCCAGACACCUACGGGAGGCAACAGAGGGGAAUAUUGGACAGUGGGCGAAAGCCUGAUCCAGCCAUGCCGCGUGUGUGAAGAAGGUCUUCGGAUUGUAAAGCACUUUAAGUUGGGAAGAAGGGCAGUAAGUUAAUACCUUGCUGUUUUGACGUUACCUACAGAAUAAGCACCGGCUAACUACGUG